This 253-nucleotide ribosomal RNA is filed under the name uncultured bacterium. RNAcentral's name for it is "partial 16S ribosomal RNA". It matches the Rfam family "Bacterial small subunit ribosomal RNA", at positions 524 to 776 of the family's 1533-position model. The record is from RNAcentral.
GACGUAGGUGGCGAACGUUAUCCGGAAUUAUUGGGCGUAAAGGGUGCGCAGGUGGCGGCGCGCGUGGGGGGUGAAAUCGCCCGGCUUAACUGGGCGGGGGCCUUCCAGACGGCGUGGCUUGAGCAGCGGAGGGGGACGUGGAAUUCCGGGUGGAGCGGUGAAAUGCGUAGAGAUCCGGAGGAACACCGACGGCGCAGGCAGCGUCCUGGCCGCUUGCUGACACUGAGGCACGAAAGCUGGGGGAGCAAACAGG